This 254-nucleotide ribosomal RNA is filed under the name uncultured bacterium. RNAcentral's name for it is "partial 16S ribosomal RNA". It matches the Rfam family "Bacterial small subunit ribosomal RNA", at positions 524 to 776 of the family's 1533-position model. The record is from RNAcentral.
UACAGAGGGUGCGAGCGUUAAUCGGAAUUACUGGGCGUAAAGCGUGCGUAGACGGUAGCGUAAGUCAGAUGUGAAAGCCCCGGGCUCAACCUGGGAAUUGCAUUUGAGACUGCUCUGCUCGGGUGCGGAAGAGGGAAGCGGAAUUUCCGGUGUAGCGGUGAAAUGCGUAGAUAUCGGAAGGAACACCAGUGGCGAAAGCGGCUUCCUGGUCCGACACCGACGUUCAGGCACGAAAGCGUGGGGAGCAAAACAGG